UACGUAGGGUGCAAGCGUUGUCCGGAAUUAUUGGGCGUAAAGAGCUCGUAGGCGGCUUGUCGCGUCGGCUGUGAAAACCUGGGGCUCAACCCCGGGCCUGCAGCCGAUACGGGCAGACUAGAGUGCGGUAGGGGAGAUUGGAAUUCCUGGUGUAGCGGUGGAAUGCGCAGAUAUCAGGAGGAACACCGAUGGCGAAGGCAGAUCUCUGGGCCGUAACUGACGCUGAGGAGCGAAAGCGUGGGGAGCGAACAGG
This 253-nucleotide ribosomal RNA is filed under the name uncultured bacterium. RNAcentral describes it as "partial 16S ribosomal RNA". It matches the Rfam family "Bacterial small subunit ribosomal RNA", at positions 524 to 776 of the family's 1533-position model. The record is from RNAcentral.